UUUGAUUUUUUGAUUAAAACUAAUGAGUGCCCAUCCCUAUCUAAUGUGGCUUAGUCCAAUAACUAUAGACACAUCACUCACCUAACAUGUGCUAAGUUAUGGUCUCUAUUCUCCUAAUCCCCCUAUAAAAAAAUACCACCCUAUAAAAAAAUACCAAAAGAGUACUAAAAUAGAGUAAAUUCUCUCAUAUCAAAAUAAAAAAUAUCAUCUUCCUCUCUAAAAUUCCAGCAUCAUCUCCUUCAAUACUAUUGCCACCACCAAAGGGCAGAGCCAUGUUCAACCCCCUCUCAAAUAUUUUAAAAAAAAAUCAUAUAUGUAUUGAA
This 323-nucleotide unclassified non-coding RNA is filed under the name Hevea brasiliensis (rubber tree). Lineage: Eukaryota; Viridiplantae; Streptophyta; Magnoliopsida; Malpighiales; Euphorbiaceae. The record is from RNAcentral.